AUUGAACGCUAGCGGGAUGCUUUACACAUGCAAGUCGAACGAGUGGCGGACGGGUGUGUAAUAUAUCGGAACGUGCCCAGUAGCGGGGGAUAACUACUCGAAAGAGUGGUUAAUACCGCAUACUAUUGGAGCUGCCGAUAUAGGAUUGGCCAUUUGGUGGAGUAAAGGCUCACCAAUGCAACGAUCCGUAGUUGGUUUGAGAGGACGACCAGCCACACUGGGACUGAGACACGGCCUAGACUCCGACGGUAGGCAUCAGUUGGAAAUUUUGGACAAAGGGGGAAACCCUGAUCCAGCCAUCCCGCUUGUAUGAGAAGGCCUUCGGGUUGUAAAGUACUUUUGGCAGAGAAGCGGUAUCUGCAGAAUAAGCACCGGCUAACUACGUGCCAGCAGCCGCGGUAAUUC
This 405-nucleotide ribosomal RNA is filed under the name uncultured bacterium. RNAcentral's name for it is "partial 16S ribosomal RNA". It matches the Rfam family "Bacterial small subunit ribosomal RNA", at positions 30 to 526 of the family's 1533-position model. The record is from RNAcentral.